RNAcentral lists this ribosomal RNA (406 nucleotides) under uncultured bacterium. RNAcentral's name for it is "partial 16S ribosomal RNA". It matches the Rfam family "Bacterial small subunit ribosomal RNA", at positions 29 to 526 of the family's 1533-position model. The record is from RNAcentral.
AUUGAACGCUGGCGGCAGGCCUAACACAUGCAAGUCGAACGAGUGGCGGACGGGUGAGUAAUGUCUGGGAAACUGACUGAUGGAAGGAGAUCAAUCCUGGCAACGGUAGCUAAUACCGCAUCCCUACAGAUGUGCCCGGAUGGGAUUAGCUUGUUGGUGGGGUAACGGCGCACCAAGGCGACGAUCCCUAGCUGGUCUGAGAGGAUGACCAGCCAAACUGGAACUGAGACACGGGCCAGACGCCGACGGGAGGCAGCAGUGGGGAAUAUUGCACAAUGGGCGCAAGCCUGAUGCAGCCAUGCCGCGGGUAUGAAGAAGGCCUUCGGGUUGUAAAGUACUUUCAGCGGGGAGGCGUUACCCGCAGAAGAAGCACCGGCUAACUCCGAGCCAGCAGCCGCGGUAAUUC